AGCUUUAUAUUCAAAUUGAUGAUUUUUGAUUGCAAGUCUAAAGUUGAGUACAAUUAAUUGCUCUAAGGCUU
RNAcentral lists this transfer RNA (71 nucleotides) under Aeneolamia contigua. RNAcentral describes it as "tRNA-Cys". The record is from RNAcentral. Lineage: Eukaryota; Metazoa; Arthropoda; Insecta; Hemiptera; Cercopidae.